Long non-coding RNA from Physella acuta, 532 nucleotides. RefSeq lists it as uncharacterized. Lineage: Eukaryota; Metazoa; Mollusca; Gastropoda; Physidae. The record is from RefSeq and is a predicted model, not a curated record.
UUAGCAAACCUAACUUUAAAAAGGGGUUAAUACUAUUAUAUGCUAUUAUAUAUCUCAACUAGAAUAGAUAACAUCUUAGUUGGUUUAGAUAGAUCUUUAAAUUAUUUUUAAGGGAUAUAAUCAACUAAUGCAAAAUUUGAUGUUUAUAUUGUCUUUUUACGGGAAACAUUAGGUUAAGGAACAAAUUGAUGUUAACAUUUUUUGAAUACUGUUAAAUUACUUUUAGUAACUACAACUGUUCAUCCUCAUUUGUAGGAGAUAAAAUUGGAAAUUAUUUUAUGUUAGUUUUCAUCAUCUGAUUGAAAUGAAGGUCGCAGCUCUCCUUGUUCUGGUGUGUCUUGCUAACUUCUACAGAUUAUCAGAGUGUUGCUGCCAACAGCAAGGUCAACCAUGCAUGGUCCGAUUUGACUGUUGUGGCGAUAACAAUUGCGAAUUCAUGGGCCGUUUUGAAGGUUACUGUGAUCACAUGUACACCAUAGUUCGAGGAUGAAAGACGACUGCCAAGAUGUUCUAAAUAUAUGAUACUAACAAC